GUUGGGAAUCUUGGACAAUGGGGGAAACCCUGAUCCAGCCAUGCCGCGUGAGUGAUGAAGGCCUUCGGGUUGUAAAACUCUUUCGACGGGGACGAUAAUGACGGUACCUGACUAAGAAGCCCCGGCUAACUACGUGCCAGCAGCCGCGGUAAUACGUAGGGGGCAAGCGUUAUCCGGAUUUACUGGGUGUAAAGGGAGCGUAGACGGUGAAGCAAGUCUGAUGUGAAAACCCGGGGCUCAACUCCGGGAUUGCAUUGGAAACUGUUUUACUUGAGUGCUGGAGGGGCAAGCGGAAUUCCUGGUGUAGCGGUGAAAUGCGUAGAUAUCAGGAAGAACACCGGUGGCGAAGGCGGCUUGCUGGACAGUAACUGACGUUGAGGCUCGAAAGCGUGGGGAGCAAACAGGAUUAGAUACCCUUGUAGUCC
RNAcentral lists this ribosomal RNA (425 nucleotides) under uncultured bacterium. RNAcentral's name for it is "partial 16S ribosomal RNA". It matches the Rfam family "Bacterial small subunit ribosomal RNA", at positions 354 to 796 of the family's 1533-position model. The record is from RNAcentral.